AGCGUACACGGUGGAUGCCCUGGCAGUCAGAGGCGAUGAAGGACGUGCUAAUCUGCGAUAAGCGUCGGUGAGGUGAUAUGAACCGUUAUAACCGGCGAUUUCCGAAUGGGGAAACCCAGUGUGUUUCGACACACUAUCAUUAACUGAAUCCAUAGGUUAAUGAGGCGAACCGGGGGAACUGAAACAUCUAAGUACCCCGAGGAAAAGAAAUCAACCGAGAUUCCCCCAGUAGCGGCGAGCGAACGGGGAGGAGCCCAGAGCCUGAAUCAGUGUGUGUGUUAGUGGAAGCGUCUGGAAAGGCGUGCGAUACAGGGUGACAGCCCCGUACACAAAAAUGCACAUAUUGUGAGCUCGAUGAGUAGGGCGGGACACGUGGUAUCCUGUCUGAAUAUGGGGGGACCAUCCUCCAAGGCUAAAUACUCCUGACUGACCGAUAGUGAACCAGUACCGUGAGGGAAAGGCGAAAAGAACCCCGGCGAGGGGAGUGAAAAAGAACCUGAAACCGUGUACGUACAAGCAGUGGGAGCCUCUUAAUGGGGUGACUGCGUACCUUUUGUAUAAUGGGUCAGCGACUUAUAUUCUGUAGCAAGGUUAACCGAAUAGGGGAGCCGAAGGGAAACCGAGUCUUAACUGGGCGUUAAGUUGCAGGGUAUAGACCCGAAACCCGGUGAUCUAGCCAUGGGCAGGUUGAAGGUUGGGUAACACUAACUGGAGGACCGAACCGACUAAUGUUGAAAAAUUAGCGGAUGACUUGUGGCUGGGGGUGAAAGGCCAAUCAAACCGGGAGAUAGCUGGUUCUCCCCGAAAGCUAUUUAGGUAGCGCCUCGUGAAUUCAUCUCCGGGGGUAGAGCACUGUUUCGGCAAGGGGGUCAUCCCGACUUACCAACCCGAUGCAAACUGCGAAUACCGGAGAAUGUUAUCACGGGAGACACACGGCGGGUGCUAACGUCCGUCGUGAAGAGGGAAACAACCCAGACCGCCAGCUAAGGUCCCAAAGUCAUGGUUAAGUGGGAAACGAUGUGGGAAGGCCCAGACAGCCAGGAUGUUGGCUUAGAAGCAGCCAUCAUUUAAAGAAAGCGUAAUAGCUCACUGGUCGAGUCGGCCUGCGCGGAAGAUGUAACGGGGCUAAACCAUGCACCGAAGCUGCGGCAGCGACACUAUGUGUUGUUGGGUAGGGGAGCGUUCUGUAAGCCUGUGAAGGUGGCCUGUGAGGGUUGCUGGAGGUAUCAGAAGUGCGAAUGCUGACAUAAGUAACGAUAAAGCGGGUGAAAAGCCCGCUCGCCGGAAGACCAAGGGUUCCUGUCCAACGUUAAUCGGGGCAGGGUGAGUCGACCCCUAAGGCGAGGCCGAAAGGCGUAGUCGAUGGGAAACAGGUUAAUAUUCCUGUACUUGGUGUUACUGCGAAGGGGGGACGGAGAAGGCUAUGUUGGCCGGGCGACGGUUGUCCCGGUUUAAGCGUGUAGGCUGGUUUUCCAGGCAAAUCCGGAAAACCAAGGCUGAGGCGUGAUGACGAGGCACUACGGUGCUGAAGCGACAAAUGCCCUGCUUCCAGGAAAAGCCUCUAAGCAUCAGGUAACAUCAAAUCGUACCCCAAACCGACACAGGUGGUCAGGUAGAGAAUACCAAGGCGCUUGAGAGAACUCGGGUGAAGGAACUAGGCAAAAUGGUGCCGUAACUUCGGGAGAAGGCACGCUGAUAUGUAGGUGAAGCGACUUGCUCGUGGAGCUGAAAUCAGUCGAAGAUACCAGCUGGCUGCAACUGUUUAUUAAAAACACAGCACUGUGCAAACACGAAAGUGGACGUAUACGGUGUGACGCCUGCCCGGUGCCGGAAGGUUAAUUGAUGGGGUUAGCGGUAACGCGAAGCUCUUGAUCGAAGCCCCGGUAAACGGCGGCCGUAACUAUAACGGUCCUAAGGUAGCGAAAUUCCUUGUCGGGUAAGUUCCGACCUGCACGAAUGGCGUAAUGAUGGCCAGGCUGUCUCCACCCGAGACUCAGUGAAAUUGAACUCGCUGUGAAGAUGCAGUGUACCCGCGGCAAGACGGAAAGACCCCGUGAACCUUUACUAUAGCUUGACACUGAACAUUGAGCCUUGAUGUGUAGGAUAGGUGGGAGGCUUUGAAGUGUGGACGCCAGUCUGCAUGGAGCCGACCUUGAAAUACCACCCUUUAAUGUUUGAUGUUCUAACGUGGGCCCCUAAUCGGGGUUGCGGACAGUGUCUGGUGGGUAGUUUGACUGGGGCGGUCUCCUCCUAAAGAGUAACGGAGGAGCACGAAGGUUGGCUAAUCCUGGUCGGACAUCAGGAGGUUAGUGCAAUGGCAUAAGCCAGCUUGACUGCGAGCGUGACGGCGCGAGCAGGUGCGAAAGCAGGUCAUAGUGAUCCGGUGGUUCUGAAUGGAAGGGCCAUCGCUCAACGGAUAAAAGGUACUCCGGGGAUAACAGGCUGAUACCGCCCAAGAGUUCAUAUCGACGGCGGUGUUUGGCACCUCGAUGUCGGCUCAUCACAUCCUGGGGCUGAAGUAGGUCCCAAGGGUAUGGCUGUUCGCCAUUUAAAGUGGUACGCGAGCUGGGUUUAGAACGUCGUGAGACAGUUCGGUCCCUAUCUGCCGUGGGCGCUGGAGAACUGAGGGGGGCUGCUCCUAGUACGAGAGGACCGGAGUGGACGCAUCACUGGUGUUCGGGUUGUCAUGCCAAUGGCACUGCCCGGUAGCUAAAUGCGGAAGAGAUAAGUGCUGAAAGCAUCUAAGCACGAAACUUGCCCCGAGAUGAGUUCU
Molecule: ribosomal RNA, 2773 nt
Filed under: Escherichia coli
Lineage: Bacteria; Pseudomonadati; Pseudomonadota; Gammaproteobacteria; Enterobacterales; Enterobacteriaceae
Description: bacterial LSU rRNA
Rfam family: Bacterial large subunit ribosomal RNA
Source: RNAcentral